This 241-nucleotide ribosomal RNA is filed under the name Klebsiella pneumoniae. RNAcentral's name for it is "partial 16S ribosomal RNA". It matches the Rfam family "Bacterial small subunit ribosomal RNA", at positions 343 to 576 of the family's 1533-position model. The record is from RNAcentral. Lineage: Bacteria; Pseudomonadati; Pseudomonadota; Gammaproteobacteria; Enterobacterales; Enterobacteriaceae.
GGGAGGCAGCAGUGGGGAAUAUUGCACAAUGGGCGCAAGCCUGAUGCAGCCAUGCCGCGUGUGUGAAGAAGGCCUUCGGGUUGUAAAGCACUUUCAGCGGGGAGGAAGGCGUUAAGGUUAAUAACCUCAUCGAUUGACGUUACCCGCAGAAGAAGCACCGGCUAACUCCGUGCCAGCAGCCGCGGUAAUACGGAGGGUGCAAGCGUUAAUCGGAAUUACUUGGCGUAAAGCGCACGCAGGC